GUGCGAGACCGAUAGCGAACAAGUACCGUGAGGGAAAGAUGAAAAGAACUUUGAAAAGAGAGUUAAAGAGUACCUGAAACUGCUGAAAGGGAAGCGAAUCGUAUCCAGUGUCUAUAAUCUGCGGCAUAUUUCAUUGGCGGCGGUGCGCGUGCUUUUGCGUCGGAAGCGGCUUUUGUUGCUCUGUCCUUUUGCUGUGCGUGGUGUUGCUGGUGCCCUGUGUUGCGGUGGGACGUCAGAGUCAGUUUGUAUGCUGCGGGAAAUGGCUGCCGAGGAGGUAGGUCGAGAUUUCGGUCUUGGCUGUUAUAUCUUGGUGGUUUGUUGUCGUGGUUGAGACUGAGGUGCCUACAAUGUGCUUUUGAGUGUACCGGGUUCUCAUUUGGUGGACUGUCUGGAUAGCUUGCUAUGCUUGUGGUUUUUUCAUCGGGUGAUUGAGUCUGGUGGUAACUUGUUGCUGUUCGGGACUUUG
RNAcentral lists this ribosomal RNA (466 nucleotides) under uncultured Oomycota. RNAcentral's name for it is "LSU rRNA". The stretch from base 1 to 83 matches the Rfam family "Bacterial large subunit ribosomal RNA", at positions 476 to 559 of the family's 2925-position model. The record is from RNAcentral. Lineage: Eukaryota; Oomycota.